ACACACCGCCCGUCGCUACUACCGAUUGAAUGGCUCGGUGAGGCCUUCGGACUGGCCCAGGGAGGUCGGCAACGACCACCCAGGGCCGGAAAGUUGGUCAAACCCGGUCAUUUAGAGGAAGUAAAAGUCGUAACAAGGUCUCCGUAGGUGAACCUGCGGAGGGAUCAUU
This 169-nucleotide ribosomal RNA is filed under the name Cladosporium cladosporioides. Its description in RNAcentral is "partial 18S ribosomal RNA". It matches the Rfam family "Eukaryotic small subunit ribosomal RNA", at positions 1664 to 1830 of the family's 1831-position model. RNAcentral also lists the same sequence under 1 other name. The record is from RNAcentral. Lineage: Eukaryota; Fungi; Ascomycota; Dothideomycetes; Cladosporiales; Cladosporiaceae.